CAAACCAACAUAGAACAAACCUACAUAGAACAAACCUACAUAGAACAAACCUACAUAGAACAAACCUACAUAGAACAAACCAACAUUUUCGGGACAAAAAAAGAGCCUGAACUCUUCUUCUGCAUGGAAUAAAAACAGCUAAAUGCUAAUUUGUUAUUUUUUUGGGGGGGGGGGAAACCAGAAGCCUUCUUUUUGGAGAUAUUAUGCAUCUCUGAAAACAUGAUGUAUGUUUCUAUGUGUGUGUUUGUAUGUGAGGGAGAAGGAUAGAAGGAGAGAGGGAGAGAGAGCAUCAGUGUGUGAAGUCAUCACGAGGAGAGGAAGAGAGAGAAACCGCGUCCCUCGGUGAGGUUAUUCGCUGUAGCAAUUUGAGAGAAAAGGAGAAACUCCUCACAUUGAAGGGAUGAGUGGAAGGACUGUAGGGUCCAGGGGCUACACCUUAACCACCUGAAAUAGCAUCCUCUCCUUGUCUCCUUUCUAAAAGGAAGCCAGAAUCGUCUACACCUUAACCAUCUAAAAUAGCAUCCUCUCCUUGUCUCCUUUCUAAAAGGAAGCCAGAAUCGUCUACACCUUAACCAUCUAAAAUAGCAUCCUCUCCUUGUCUCCUUUCUAAAAGGAAGCCAGAAUCGUCUACACCUUAACCAUCUAAAAUAGCAUCCUCUCCUUGUCUCCUUUCUAAAAGGAAGCCAGAAUCGUCUACACCUUAAAAGUCUAAAGAAAGAUCACUCACCAUAUAAUCAGUGAGUUUAACUUCAGUUACACACUAACCAACUCUCAGGUAAGACUUGACACAAUGUGUACAGUACGUCGUUUGUAAAGCAAGCGGCUGGGUUUCUACAUGAAAACAAAACCAUUCAUUCUCCCUUAGAAUUAGAAUUGAGUUCUAAUUCAAUCCCUUAGAAUUCGAUUUAGAAUUGAGUUCUAAUUCAAUCCCUUAGAAUUCGAUUUAGAAUUGAGUUCUAAUUCAAACCCUUAGAAAUCGAUUUAGAAUUGAGUUCUAAUUCAAUCCCCCAGAAUGUGAGUUAGAAUUGAGUUGUAGUUCUAUGGUUCCCCUCUCUCUCUCUCUCUCUCCACUCUUCUCUAUGGUGUCACUGACCUUCUCAAACCUUCCUCCCUCUAACCUCGUCUCCCAACCGGCUGUCUCUGAAGCUCUGUGAUUGGUGGACUGGACUCAGCGGUGCGCUGAUGUGACAAUGAACGGAAGUUCUGUUUGGGUUCUAGAUCCAGAACGUUGGGUUCCAAUCCGGAAUGCUCGAAGGGGAUUUUCUAGCUCACCUUGAGCCACUGACAUAUAGUACAUACUAUGUAGUAACCAUGACCACACUGUCCCUGGAUGUACGGAAAUCAUGGAGCUGGAUUCCAACCCACAGGGUCUGGAUUCAGGAGCUGAGUUAGCCCUAACGGACCAGGAGAACUUUGCUACAAGAGACUCUGAAAACAAUGAUUUGUGUUUAUUACAAGACAGAUCUUUUGUUCCCGGGAAGUCAAACUGCUGUUUUAAUGCAGAGUCUCGUACAGACAUCCUACCCUACUACCACACUACUCUACCUUUCCUUACCCGGCCGAACACGGACCUAUAGGAACAUGAAUCUGUGUCUGCGUACGGUAUGGCACCCUAGUCCCUAUAGAAGACAUAUAGGGGGUCAGUCGUCAAAAGUCGGCUAAAGUCGUGAAGUGUGCAGGGAUUCGGGUGGCAUGUGGGAGGCUGGCACGGUGUGGGAGUAUGUCUGUUUUAUAUACUGCACGUUUAAAGACAAUUUAAAUCACUUCUUCUUAGCCCUGUUAUGUGGGCCUGGAGAGAUAGAGGACAGGGUGAUAACAGGCCUGGAGAGAUAGAGGACAGGGUGAUAACAGGCCUGCAGAGAUAGAGGACAGGGUGAUAACAGGCCUGGAGAGAUAGAGGACAGGGUGAUAACAGGCCUGGAGAGAUAGAGGACAGGGUGAUAACAGGCCUGGAGAGAUAGAGGACAGGGUGAUAACAGGCCUGGAGAGAUAGAGGACAGGGUGAUAACAGGCCUGGAGAGAUAGAGGACAGGGUGAUAACAGACCUGGAGAGAGAGAGAGAGGACAGGGUGAUAACAGGCCUGGAGAGAUAGAGGACAGGGUGAUAACAGACCUGAGAGAGAGAGAGAGGACAGGGUGAUAACAGGCCUGGAGAGAUAGAGAGAGGACAGGGUGACAACAGGCCUGGAGAGAUAGAGGACAGGGUGAUAACAGGCCUGGAGAGAGAGAGAGAGGACAGGGUGAUAACAGGCCUGGAGAGAGAGAGGACAGGGGGAUAACAGACCUGAGAGAGAGAGAGAGAGAGAGAGAGGACAGGGUGAUAACAGACCUGAAGAGAGAGAGAGAGGACAGGGUGAUAACAGACCUGGAGAGAAAGGACAGGGUGAUAACAGACCUGGAGAGAGAGAGAGAGGACAGGGUGAUAACAAGGUUAAUGUCGUCUUAAAGAGAUAUUUGCAUUCACCUGUUUAGGACUUUAUUUUUGAAAGGUGACACCUCCUGUGCAUCCUAAAUGGUACCCUAUAUUGUGCACUACUUAUGACCAGAGUCUGUGGCCCAAGUAGUGCACUAUAUAGGGAAUAGGGUGCCUUUUGAAAUCCUGAUUGGUCGAUUACCUAAUAGCCAUCUAUAGAACUGUAAGAACUACCCCGUAGAACCGAGGAACCCGUAGAACACGCAGAACAGAGAACAAUGUUAAUAACAGAUAAAAAGGCAUGUUUUACCUGUUUCAAUUUUGCAUUAAAAAAACAACUAAAAAAACUAAAAACAUUAUUUUUCCUCUUGAUUUUCUCCUUUUUUUAAAAUUGAUCUGUUGCUGCUCUAUUAUUAACUGGGAUUCAUUCAUUAUUCAACUUAAUGCAUUUUCUAAUGAUUACGAGGACGAGGUGUGCUUCCCGACAUGGUACCCUAUUCCUUAUAUCGUGGACUAUAGAGGGCCCUGGUCAACAGUA
Molecule: long non-coding RNA, 2951 nt
Organism: Oncorhynchus tshawytscha (Chinook salmon)
Lineage: Eukaryota; Metazoa; Chordata; Actinopteri; Salmoniformes; Salmonidae
Source: Ensembl